This is an RNA transcript of Apodemus sylvaticus (European woodmouse), 1290 nucleotides long. It is a transcript of the gene named 28S ribosomal protein S18b, mitochondrial-like, with no coding region annotated. The record is from RefSeq and is a predicted model, not a curated record. NCBI's taxonomy places the organism in Eukaryota, Metazoa, Chordata, Mammalia, Rodentia, Muridae. The transcript has 3 exons.
CCUGAGCAUGCUCAUUUGUUCUUCCAGCAGGCUGGGAAUCAUGUGUGCACAUCAUGAUGGCUGCCUCCUUGUGGCAUAUGCUGCUAAUGCUGUUUCCUACACUCUUAGGAAGUUCCUAUGGAGCUGAGGUUCCCCUCCAGACUCUUUGCACCAGAGGCCCUCCUGAAGAAGACCCUUCAGCCUCCCUUCCCUUCUCCCCUUAUGAAAACAAACCUUGGAAUUCCCUGGAUUCAGGAGAAUACCUGAAUGGCUAUGGCUUUCACCAUGUUUGGGCUGACUAUUUCCUCAACCACAAAGCUGGUGGCACAAUGGAUCAGACAGAUAUUCCUAACAAUCAAGUUUCUGGGAAUCCGUGUCCCGUGUGCAAGUAUCUCAAACUGCAUGUUGACUUUAGGGAUGUGAUGCUCUUGGAACAGUUUGUUCGUGCCCAUAUGAGUAUCAUCUUUCAUGCCCCAUACCCAGGAGUCUAUGAAGCAGCACAAGAAGCUGACCCAGGCCAUCCAAAAAGCCACAUUGAGCUGGGCUUCUCAGCACAUUCGAUCAGUCUGUGACAUUCCUGGCCGCCACCCCCAGCCUUCCACUUGUGUUAUCCCUGGCCUUUGUUCUUCUGAGAACCAUGCAGCUGCUUUCACCUGGAAAUCAAGGCUGCCUCAUCUGGAGACAUCCUGGGACCUGUAAGACAUGAAGUCCUUUAAUCCCAGCAGGCGACCGCUGAAAAGAGGAGCCAGCAAGUUCUCAGAUCUCUCCUUGAGUCUGGGGGCAGGGUUUUAUUUUAAAGGCUUUAUAUAUUGACUAAAUAUUAGUAAAGCCUUGGUCUCGAUCGGCUAAUGUCAUCCUGACUCAUUUCUUUUGUGGCCUCCCCGUUUAUCCCCAGAAUUCUCUUCCAGGUCCCCAGUUCACCUCUAGUUGCUGGCAACUACAGAUUGGCACCCGAACAGGGACGGACCUGAUACAGGAGAAUUUCCUGAGGUGACCCUAUCUGGCGAAGCUUCGCAGAAAAACGGCAAGAAGAUGCUAUCCUGCACGCAUUGAGCUGGGCUUCUCAGCCCCUUCCAUCAGCUGCGACAUUCCUGGCCGCCACCCCCAGCCUUCCGCUCCUGUUAUCCCCGCCUUUGUUCUUCUGAGAACCAUACAGCUGCUUUCACCUGGAAAUCAAGGCUGCCUCAGGGCAGACUCACCUGGAAACAUUCUGGGACCUGUGAGAAAUGAAGUCCUUUAAUCCCAGCAGGCGACCCACUGAGAAGAGGAGCCACGAGUUCUCGGCCAUCUCCUUGAAGUCUGGGGGCAGGG